This 230-nucleotide ribosomal RNA is filed under the name uncultured bacterium. RNAcentral's name for it is "partial 16S ribosomal RNA". It matches the Rfam family "Bacterial small subunit ribosomal RNA", at positions 118 to 350 of the family's 1533-position model. The record is from RNAcentral.
UGAGCAACCUGCCCUUAGCUCUGGGAUAACCCCGGGAAACCGGGGCUAAUACCGGAUACGAGUCCGAGCGGCAUCACACGGACUGGAAAGUUUUUCGGCUAAGGAUGGGCCCGCGGUCUAUCAGCUUGUUGGUGGGGUAAUGGCUCACCAAGGCGACGACGGAUAACCGGCCUGAGAGGGCGACCGGUCACACUGGGACUGAGACACGGCCCAGACUCCUACGGGAGGCA